GUCUCUUCCUUUGGUUUUCUAUAUCCAGGGUUGUCUCCCUUUUUGCUUUCUUUAUUGUUUCUCUUUCCAUUUUCAAUUCCUUCACUGGUUUUAUUGUGUUUUCCUGGAAUUCUUUCAGAGAUUUUUGUGAUUCCUCUCUAUAGGCUUCUACUAGUUUAUUUAUGUUUUCCUCCGUUUCUCUAAGGGAGUUCUUUAUGUCUUUCUUGAAGUCCACCAUCAUCAUGAUCAAAUGUGAUUUAAAAUCAAGAUCUUGCUUUUCAGCCAGUUAUGGGAACAGAGUCUUCUGCUUUCAGUUGUGCAGUCAUUCCUGUCCACUAGCUUUCAGCUGUUCCUGUGGACGUGUGUCCUGAGACCACCAGGCAGGUCACUUGGAGCAGAAAAGUUGGUCUUACCUCUGGUCUCUGGCCUGAAGUCACUCUUUGGGGCUUGGUUUCAACUCUCC
Molecule: long non-coding RNA, 442 nt
Organism: Rattus norvegicus (Norway rat)
Lineage: Eukaryota; Metazoa; Chordata; Mammalia; Rodentia; Muridae
Source: Ensembl